RNAcentral lists this ribosomal RNA (788 nucleotides) under uncultured bacterium. Its description in RNAcentral is "bacterial SSU rRNA". It matches the Rfam family "Bacterial small subunit ribosomal RNA", at positions 71 to 876 of the family's 1533-position model. The record is from RNAcentral.
ACGGAGGGAAAACACAAUGACCCUUUGGGGGACGGGUGAGUAACGCGUAGGGAACCUGGCCCUUACAGGGGGAUAACAGAUGGAAACAACUGCUAAUACCGCAUAAGCGCCCAGCCUCGCAUGAGGCAGAGUGAAAAACUAAGGUGGUAAGGGAUGGCCCUGCGUCCGAUUAGCUAGUUGGUAUGGUAACGGCAUACCAAGGCGACGAUCGGUAGCCGGCCUGAGAGGGUGGACGGCCACAUUGGGACUGAGACACGGCCCAAACUCCUACGGGAGGCAGCAGUGGGGGAUAUUGCACAAUGGGGGAAACCCUGAUGCAGCGACACCGCGUGGGUGAAGAAGCGCUUCGGCGUGUAAAGCCCUAUCAGUGGGGAAGAAAAAGGACGGUACCCAAAGAAGAAGCACCGGCUAAAUACGUGCCAGCAGCCGCGGUAAUACGUAUGGUGCAAGCGUUAUCCGGAAUGACUGGGUGUAAAGGGAGCGUAGACGGUUGUACAAGUCUGAUGUGAAAGCCCACGGCUCAACUGUGGGAGUGCAUUGGAAACUGUAGAACUAGAGUAUCGGAGAGGCAAGUGGAAUUCCUAGUGUAGCGGUGAAAUGCGUAGAUAUUAGGAGGAACACCAGUGGCGAAGGCGGCUUGCUGGACGAAAACUGACGUUGAGGCUCGAAAGCGUGGGGAGCAAACAGGAUUAGAUACCCUGGUAGUCCACGCUGUAAACGAUGAAUACUAGGUGUUGGGGCCCGAAGGGCGUCGGUGCCGUCGCAAACGCAGUAAGUAUUCCACCUGG